AUAGUGGAUAUAUACUGGAAUGUUAUAUCCUCGAAAGAUCCGUCGCCCAAGGAUGAGUCUAUGUCCGAUUAGGUAGUGGGCGGGGUAACGGCCCACCAAGCCUUUGAUCGGUACGGGUUGUGGGAGCAAGAUCCCGGAGAUGGAUUCUGAGACAUGAAUCCAGGCCUACGGGGCGCAGCAGGCGCGCAAACUUUACAAUGCGAGCAAUCGUGAUAAGGAAACCCUGAGUGCCUGUCGAUGCAGGCUGUUCAUAUAUCUAAAUCAUAUGUGAAGAAAGGGCAGGGCAAGACCGGUGCCAGCCGCCGCGGUAAUACCGGCUGCUCGAGUGAUGGCCACUAUUACUGGGUUUAAAGCGUCCGUAGCUUGAUUGUUAGGUCUCUUGGGAAAUCUUCACGCUCAACGUGAAGGCGUCCAAGAGAUACCGGCAAUCUUGGAACUGGGAGAGGUAAACCGUACUUCGGGGGUAGGAGUGAAAUCUUGUAAUCCUCGAGGGACGACCUAUGGCGAAGGCGGUUUACCAGAACAGCUUCGACAGUGAGGGACGAAAGCUGGGGGAGCAAACGGGAUUAGAUACCCCGGUAGUCCCAGCCGUAAACAAUGUGCGUUAGGUAUGUCGGUAACCACGUGUUACUGAUGUGCCGAAGAGAAAUCGUGAAACGCACCACCUGGGAAGUACGGUCGCAAGGCUGAAACUUAAAGGAAUUGGCGGGGGAGCACCACAACAGGUGGAGCCUGCGGUUUAAUUGGAUUCAACGCCGGGA
Molecule: ribosomal RNA, 761 nt
Filed under: uncultured Methanocorpusculum sp.
Lineage: Archaea; Methanobacteriati; Methanobacteriota; Methanomicrobia; Methanomicrobiales; Methanocorpusculaceae
Description: bacterial SSU rRNA
Rfam family: Archaeal small subunit ribosomal RNA
Source: RNAcentral